Molecule: long non-coding RNA, 448 nt
Organism: Ruditapes philippinarum (Manila clam)
Lineage: Eukaryota; Metazoa; Mollusca; Bivalvia; Venerida; Veneridae
Exons: 4
Source: RefSeq, a predicted model, not a curated record
ACGUGCAAGCUUGUUCUAAAAUAAAGAUAAUUUAACAAGGCCACCGAUUAAAAUACAGCGUUACAUAUCUUCUGUACAUAUCAUACGUAAAGGACUACCUAUCAAGUGAACUUAACUAAAGUUAUGGAAGAAAUCAUGGGAAGAUGCAGCAAGGUCUUCAAUGACCCUAUCCAUGGGCAUAUAGAAUUGCCUGAAUUAUGUGUGAAGAUAAUAGACACGCCGUACUUUCAACGCCUGAGAAAUAUAAAACAAAUUGGAACCUGUUAUUUGGUUUACCCGGGAGCCAGUCACAACAGAUUUGAGCAUUCGCUUGGUGUAUGUUUUCUUGCGGGCAAAUUAUUGAAGGAAAUAAGAAACAAACAGGAAGGAAUACUGGACCCAAAAGAUAUUUUAUGUGUACAGAUUGCAGGACUGUGCCAUGACCUAGGUAAGUAAUAUUGAAAUGUUG